GGGCUUGUAGCUCAGAUGGCUAGAGCACACGACUGAUAAUCGUGAGGUCGCUGGUUCGAGUCCAGCCAGGCCCACCA
This 77-nucleotide transfer RNA is filed under the name Geobacter pickeringii. RNAcentral describes it as "tRNA-Ile (GAT) (tRNA-Ile-GAT-1 1 to 3)". It matches the Rfam family "tRNA". From Rfam's summary of the family: Transfer RNA (tRNA) molecules are approximately 80 nucleotides in length. Their secondary structure includes four short double-helical elements and three loops (D, anti-codon, and T loops). Further hydrogen bonds mediate the characteristic L-shaped molecular structure. tRNAs have two regions of fundamental functional importance: the anti-codon, which is responsible for specific mRNA codon recognition, and the 3' end, to which the tRNAs corresponding amino acid is attached (by aminoacyl-tRNA synthetases). tRNAs cope with the degeneracy of the genetic code in two manners: having more than one tRNA (with a specific anti-codon) for a particular amino acid; and 'wobble' base-pairing, i.e. permitting non-standard base-pairing at the 3rd anti-codon position. Lineage: Bacteria; Pseudomonadati; Thermodesulfobacteriota; Desulfuromonadia; Geobacterales; Geobacteraceae. The record is from RNAcentral.